GUGACCGACGCGGCCUGACUCACACACAAAGACCUUCCUCCCUUCCUUGCAAAGCAUGUCACUCAGCAAGCCUUCAAAACAUUUCACGACACGAGCAGGGGCAGCUUGUUUAAAGAGGACAAACACACACAAUCACGGGAUUGCAGGUGAACUGGAGACUAUUCCUAUUUACGUGAGGCACACCCAGAACUGGUCACCAGCCAAUCUCAGGGCAAACAUGGAAAUAGUUACACCUAUGGAAAAAAUUAACAUCUUCGUUUAACCUAAAAUGCAUGUUUUUUUUUUUUUUUUAAAAGGUUGGAGGAAGACAAAACGCGGGCAAGCAAAAGGAGAACAUGUAAACCCCACAAAGGAAGCAUGGAUCUUAGAUUUCCACACCAAACCUGAGUCAAAACCCUGAGCACCCUGUGAAAGACUUCCCACAGCUGACUCAAAGCAAACAGCUGCUGUCGGAUAUCCUGGCCGCAUUGUCCUUUUCUCUACUUUUCGACACAAACAUGGGGUACAUAAAUCUACAUUUUGGCAA
This is a long non-coding RNA of Syngnathoides biaculeatus (alligator pipefish), 526 nucleotides long. RefSeq lists it as uncharacterized. The transcript has 3 exons. The record is from RefSeq and is a predicted model, not a curated record. Lineage: Eukaryota; Metazoa; Chordata; Actinopteri; Syngnathiformes; Syngnathidae.